GUGAGUCAUCGAAUCUUUGAACGCACCUUGCGCCACGUGGUAUUCCACGGGGCACGCCUGUUUGAGUGUCACGUAAACCCAUCGCGUCUCGGAUUGUCAUGAUCUGAGGGGCGGAUUUGGACGCUGCCGUAGUGGCUCGUCUCGAAAUGCAUUAGCCAGUCCGAGGACGCGCGCCGUUGGUGUGAUAAUUCACUUUGCGCCGCUGGUCGUGUCCGACGAAGGCUCACAGUCGCCCGCAAGGGCAAUACUUUAAUGCUCUGGCCUCAAAUCAGGUGGGACUACCCGCUGAACUUAAGCAUAUCAAUAAGCGGAGGA
This 315-nucleotide unclassified non-coding RNA is filed under the name fungal sp. Its description in RNAcentral is "partial contains 5.8S ribosomal RNA, internal transcribed spacer 2, and large subunit ribosomal RNA". The stretch from base 1 to 71 matches the Rfam family "5.8S ribosomal RNA", at positions 84 to 154 of the family's 154-position model. Lineage: Eukaryota; Fungi. The record is from RNAcentral.